This 460-nucleotide ribosomal RNA is filed under the name uncultured bacterium. RNAcentral describes it as "partial 16S ribosomal RNA". It matches the Rfam family "Bacterial small subunit ribosomal RNA", at positions 338 to 795 of the family's 1533-position model. The record is from RNAcentral.
CCUACGGGAGGCAGCAGUGAGGAAUAUUGGUCAAUGGCCGGAAGGCUGAACCAGCCAUGCCGCGUGAAGGUCAGUGCCCUAUGGGCGUUAAACUUCUUUUGUGCGGGAGCAAUAAUGGUCACGUGUGGCCAGACGAGAGUACCGUACGAAUAAGCAUCGGCUAACUCCGUGCCAGCAGCCGCGGUAAUACGGGGGAUGCAAGCGUUAUCUGGAUUUAUUGGGGUUAAAGGGUGCGUAGGCUGUGAGGUAAGUCAGCGGUGAAAUGCCCCCGCUCAACGGGGUGAAGUGCCAUUGAUACUGCCUUGCUGGAAUGCGGAUGACGUGGGAGGAAUGUGUGGUGUAGCGGUGAAAUGCAUAGAUAUCACACAGAACACCGAUUGCGAAGGCAUCUCACGAAUCCGCGAUUGACGCUGAUGCACGAAAGCGUGGGUAUCAAACAGGAUUAGAUACCCGAGUAGUC